GACGAACGCUGGCGGCGUGCUUAACACAUGCAAGUCGAACGAUGAAGCCGGGGCUUGCUCUGGUGAAUUAGUGGCGAACGGGUGAGUAACACGUGAGUAACCUGCCCUUGACUCUGGGAUAACUGCUAGAAAUGGUAGCUAAUACCGGAUACGACCCUCGGAGGCAUCUCCAGGGGGUGGAAAGAAUUUCGGUCAAGGAUGGACUCGCGGCCUAUCAGCCAGUUGGUGAGGUAACGGCUCACCAAGGCGACGACGGGUAGCCGGCCUGAGAGGGUGACCGGCCACACUGGGACUGAGACACGGCCCAGACUCCUACGGGAGGCAGCAGUGGGGAAUAUUGCACAAUGGGCGCAAGCCUGAUGCAGCAACGCCGCGUGAGGGAUGACGGCCUUCGGGUUGUAAACCUCUUUUAGUAGGGAAGAAGCGAAAGUGACGGUACCUGCAGAAAAAGCACCGGCUAACUACGUGCCAGCCGCCGCGGUAA
RNAcentral lists this ribosomal RNA (484 nucleotides) under uncultured bacterium. RNAcentral describes it as "partial 16S ribosomal RNA". It matches the Rfam family "Bacterial small subunit ribosomal RNA", at positions 28 to 523 of the family's 1533-position model. The record is from RNAcentral.